Long non-coding RNA from Stegostoma tigrinum, 2040 nucleotides. RefSeq lists it as uncharacterized. The record is from RefSeq and is a predicted model, not a curated record. Lineage: Eukaryota; Metazoa; Chordata; Chondrichthyes; Orectolobiformes; Stegostomatidae. The transcript is spliced from 4 exons.
UGGACGAACGUGGAGAAGGUGUCAGGCAUCAGAGAGAAAAGAAAUAAACCUCUCUCUGUGUGUGCAUUAUUUAUAUAAAUAUAUAGAAUAAUGAGCCGUGCUGCAACCGUUUCCUUGCUUCCCGAGUCGGUGACAAGCGGCAGGAUUCACUCAGUUGAGGAGAGCAGCUGUCCACUAGGAGCUCCGGCUGAUACAGCGGGUCAUGCAGGGUCUUGGAGGCGGCAGCAAGUCAUUCACACCAGCUGCACAGAGAGAAAGAAACAAAUGCUGUAAUGCCACUGCCUAGAUAUGCUGCAUAAUACUGCUGUCUGCACCCAGAACGAUGUGGAAAAAAGCACACCAGCAUAUGCGUGUCUGCACCUGCAUCUUACAGCAACCAGAAAGUCAAGUGAUGAAACCACUCGGAGCUGGCAUGAAAAGAAGAUAAUGCAGAGGCAGGAAAGAAGACAACCUGUUUGCAAAAGGAGGGAGAAGGGAGAAGAGUUCUGAGCAAGAUUCAUUGUUACUUGAAUUUUUCAAGAAGUGCCUCUCAUAACUUUACCUAAGCCUGGAACUGAAGUUUGUUCAGUGUCUGUGAUUCAACCAGAAGGUAUGCACAACAUUCUGUCGUCUCUUGGAGCUAAACUUUCUGUCUCCAAACACAUUGCUGAUCAUACAAACAGUCACUAUGGCUCUCAAUUUCUUCACUGCCGUAUCUUUCCAGACCGAUAAAGGAGACAAUAUCUAGCAUUUCCCAGUUCCCUCUCCAUGCUGCAUCAGAGAGUCUCUUUAACAGGAAAACAAAACCCCAUUUUGUAAAUGGACAAGAAAUGGGAACCAAGCCAAUGUGAGAAUAAAGGAGGGAUGAUGAAAACCCUGAGCAACAAGAUUGAUUUCAAGAAGGCUCUCGAAGGAGACAAAGCUCCUUUUAAAGAAGCAUUCCAGAAUUCUGCCCAUUACUUGAAGUGGACUCUCAACAAGGCCUUGAUCAAUUGCAGCAAGACACCUUACUCUUACACUCCAACCCACUCGCUAAUAGAGUAUUUGCAUCUUAAUUUUGUGUUUUAUGUGCAAAUUCCUCUGACGAUCAAUAUAUAUUUUCUUUAAAUCUGUUUCCAUCCGAAUGAGCAACCACUUCAUGCGACUGUCCCACCUUUGCUUUGUAAUCACACACAUUUUUCUUUUUCAGACAGCAGUCUAAUGUCUUUUUGAAUGUUCUAAUUGAACCUGAUUCUUCAUGUCAAAAUAUGUAAUUAAAUCUUUUCCGAUAUUGUACUCUAUCUAUCGCCUUCUUACCUUUACUUAACCUAUGUUCCUUUGCAGACUCUUUUGUAUUCAUAUCACAGCUCACUAGCCCAUUGAACUUUAUACCAUCAGCAGACUUAGAUGAAGGAUCUGAGUAUAAUGGAUCCAAGUCAUUAUUAUUGAUUGUUGGAUAGUUUUAAUCUGUAGUCAUAGCUUAAUUAAGAAGAGCCAUUUCUGUUCCCAAUGAUGGCCUGUACAUAGCUGGCCUUGUCUACCAUCACAAAACAGGCAUAAUACACAGUUGUUGAUUACGGAGUCCAACAAAGUCCAUUGUGAAAUUGCUCAAUGCUUUUCAAAGCAAUCUCAUGUAAUGAAGCUUGCACUACACGAAAAAAUUAAUAUGGGUUCAUGUGAAAUGAACACUUCAUAACUUAUUCACUUGAAACCUUAUUUCCCUUAAUGCUGGUUGACUUUACCCUCAUUUUUAUAGCUAUCUCUUUUGUUUUACAAAAUCCAAAAUUUAGAAGGCUGGCAUAAAUGUGGUUGCAUUCUCUUAAACUUUUUCUCCAACCACCCCUUCAGAUACUUUUGUCAAGAUUAUAGUGCCAGGCACAACAGAGGCUUCAGUUUGGGCGAACGAUAUUUAUUAAUGGAUCAUCUCAGAAAAUCCAAUAAGGUUAGCCUGACGGUGAGAACUAAAUUCCAAAAUAUAUUGAGCUGUUUUAGGCCUUCUCCCAUAAAAUUCACCCGAGUGUUAUUUUGCCCAAAUACCUUGCUACUGAUUUUACAGAAAUGUUGGUUUCAGAAAAACAUUGA